This 465-nucleotide ribosomal RNA is filed under the name Vreelandella stevensii. Its description in RNAcentral is "partial 16S ribosomal RNA". It matches the Rfam family "Bacterial small subunit ribosomal RNA", at positions 338 to 795 of the family's 1533-position model. Lineage: Bacteria; Pseudomonadati; Pseudomonadota; Gammaproteobacteria; Oceanospirillales; Halomonadaceae. The record is from RNAcentral.
CCUACGUGAAGCUGCAGUGGGGAAUAUUGGACAAUGGGCGAAAGCCUGAUCCAGCCAUGCCGCGUGUGUGAAGAAGGCCUUCGGGUUGUAAAGCACUUUCAGUGGGGAAGAAAGCCUUGGGGCUAAUACCCUCGAGGAAGGACAUCACCCACAGAAGAAGCACCGGCUAACUCCGUGCCAGCAGCCGCGGUAAUACGGAGGGUGCGAGCGUUAAUCGGAAUUACUGGGCGUAAAGCGCGCGUAGGCGGUCUGAUAAGCCGGUUGUGAAAGCCCCGGGCUCAACCUGGGAACGGCAUCCGGAACUGUCAGGAUAGAGUGCAGGAGAGGAAGGUAGAAUUCCCGGUGUAGCGGUGAAAUGCGUAGAGAUCGGGAGGAAUACCAGUGGCGAAGGCGGCCUUCUGGACUGACACUGACGCUGAGGUGCGAAAGCGUGGGUAGCAAACAGGAUUAGAUCCCCGGGUAGUC